AAAAAAGGAGGGUAGGUUAAGCAUGCAAUAAACGCCUGUGAGAGGAGAGUAGAGUGAGAAGAAAGAAGGAAGUUGACAAGUGGGGAAUGGGUUUGGGACUUCACGGGAUUUAGCAGAGUAGAAAGGGAAGGUGAGGGAUCAUGAUUCAUGAGAUAUGAAAUUAAUGGUUUCUGACAAGUAUUACAAAAAUGGGUUUGAUUUUGAUUUCCAGCUGUUGAGUUAAAGAUUUUCCAUACUAAUAUUACUGUAAAACUAAAGGUCAAAAUCCAAGA
Molecule: unclassified non-coding RNA, 272 nt
Filed under: Hevea brasiliensis (rubber tree)
Lineage: Eukaryota; Viridiplantae; Streptophyta; Magnoliopsida; Malpighiales; Euphorbiaceae
Source: RNAcentral